Molecule: long non-coding RNA, 380 nt
Organism: Balaenoptera musculus (blue whale)
Lineage: Eukaryota; Metazoa; Chordata; Mammalia; Artiodactyla; Balaenopteridae
Exons: 3
Source: RefSeq, a predicted model, not a curated record
CCCCGCCUAGGCAGCCAGUGGACACCUGCAUCCGCCUGCAAGACUGGAAGCAGGUCAGCGCGUGGACAGUUUCCCAGAAAGCGACAAAGACUGUGAAGUUUGACGGUCUGGAAAACGGAGACCAACCGCGCUGACUACCUGGGAGCACCGAGACUCAGGACAGCGCCACUCGGGGUCCAGGAAGGGAGCCACAAUCUGCUUCAGCACCAGGGCUCCGGACAGCUCCUAGGGGUUCCCGGAGCCGACUUCAUUUCAGAACCAGGACACUGGACAACUUCCCUGGUACCGGGAAGCCCCUGUCCCCUGACGGGGGAACAGAGGGUGGUCUGAAGUGUCUGACGUUUCUGGAGACUUGACCCUCAUUUAAUGGAUCUUUCAAC